RNAcentral lists this ribosomal RNA (444 nucleotides) under uncultured Xanthomonas sp. RNAcentral's name for it is "bacterial SSU rRNA". It matches the Rfam family "Bacterial small subunit ribosomal RNA", at positions 30 to 475 of the family's 1533-position model. The record is from RNAcentral. Lineage: Bacteria; Pseudomonadati; Pseudomonadota; Gammaproteobacteria; Lysobacterales; Lysobacteraceae.
AGUGAACGCUGCGGCAGGCCUAACACAUGCAAGUCGAGCGGCAGCGCGGGGGCAACCCUGGCGGCGAGCGGCGGACGGGUGAGGAAUUCGUCGGAAUCUGCCUAUUCGUGGGGGAUAACGUAGGGAAACUUACGCUAAUACCGCAUACGUCCUACGGGAGAAAGUGGGGGACCUUCGGGCCUCACGCGGAUGGAUGAGCCGACGACCGAUUAGCUGGUUGGUGGGGUAAAGGCCCACCAAGGCGACGAUCGGUAGCUGGUCUGAGAGGAUGAUCAGCCACACUGGGACUGAGACACGGCCCAGACUCCUACGGGAGGCAGCAGUGGGGAAUAUUGGACAAUGGGCGCAAGCCUGAUCCAGCCAUGCCGCGUGUGUGAAGAANGCCUUCGGGUUGUAAAGCACUUUUGUCCGGAAAGAAAUCCUUCAGCUUAAUACGUUGGGGGG